GGCUCACUCAGGAAGAAGGGUCAGGAUACACGACAGGAUGCUUAGAGAGGUGGACAGAAAAGGAAGAUGGAUGAAGUUGCAGCAGGAGGAACCUGGGUAUCCCGGGAAAAAAGAUUCCAGUUUUCAUAAAUGGAAAAAAACCUUUACUAUCACUAACCUGGCGGAGGGGAAGUGUGGCAGGGCAUUAUGAUGCAUCUUGAAU
Molecule: unclassified non-coding RNA, 202 nt
Filed under: Hevea brasiliensis (rubber tree)
Lineage: Eukaryota; Viridiplantae; Streptophyta; Magnoliopsida; Malpighiales; Euphorbiaceae
Source: RNAcentral